RNAcentral lists this small RNA (77 nucleotides) under Escherichia coli. RNAcentral describes it as "isrK Hfq binding RNA". It matches the Rfam family "isrK Hfq binding RNA". The record is from RNAcentral. Lineage: Bacteria; Pseudomonadati; Pseudomonadota; Gammaproteobacteria; Enterobacterales; Enterobacteriaceae. RNAcentral also lists the same sequence under 8 other names.
GCACCUUAUAAAGCGGGUGCCGGGAUUGGCGUCCUGAAAUUCGCACAUGCGCAUAACCGCGCUUCAGCGGUUUUUUU